Long non-coding RNA from Brassica oleracea var. oleracea, 580 nucleotides. RefSeq lists it as uncharacterized. The transcript is spliced from 4 exons. NCBI's taxonomy places the organism in Eukaryota, Viridiplantae, Streptophyta, Magnoliopsida, Brassicales, Brassicaceae. The record is from RefSeq and is a predicted model, not a curated record.
UUUUGUUUUUGCGGCCCAAAGACCAGCGACGCGACCACAGGAGAGAAAAAAACCCUAACCCGUCCUGAUUCACGCCUUCGUGUUCUUCGUUUCUCUUCGAUCGGCGGACGGGGCGAUCCAGUUUCUGUAACGUCUGGUAGGUGUUCAUCGGUUGUGGAUGCGAUGCUGCUGCGGUACUGGGAGGCUAGAAAUGUCAAGGGUGGUGGGGAGCUUAUGUGUCUUCGCUGAGACAAAAGAGGUACAAUAUGAUAAAUUGUUGCUUGAUGCCCCGUGUUCUGGAAUCGGUGUCCUCUCUAAGAGAGCUGACUUGCACUGGAACUGUAAACUGGAGGACAUGGAAGAACUUAAGAAUCUAUAGGAUGAGCUUCUUGAUUCUGCCUCCAAGUAUGCACACACCCUGUAGAUAGAUUUUAAUUCUUUAGGAAAAACUAAUACGGGACCUAACUAAUACUUCUCUUUGUGUCUUAAAUUAAAAUCUCAAAAAUUGGUGAAGCCGGGUGGGUUCUUGAUAUACAGUACUUGCUCGAUAGACCCUGAAGAAAAUCAAGGAAGAGUCGAAGCGUUUCUCCUAAGACAUCCU